CUAACAAGGAUUCCCCUAGUAACUGCGAGUGAAGCGGGAAAAGCUCAAAUUUAAAAUCUGAGGGUCCCUGUGGCCUUCCGAGUUGUAAUCUAGAGAAGUGUUAUCCGCGCUGGACCGUGUACAAGUCUCCUGGAACGGAGCAUCAUAGAGGGUGAGAAUCCCGUCUUUGACAUGGACUACCAGGGCUUUGUGAUGCGCUCUCAAAGAGUCGAGUUGUUUGGGAAUGCAGCUCUAAAUGGGUGGUAAAUUCCAUCUAAAGCUAAAUAUUGGCGAGAGACCGAUAGCGAACAAGUACCGUGAGGGAAAGAUGAAAAGAACUUUGGAAAGAGAGUUAAACAGUACGUGAAAUUGUUGAAAGGGAAACGCUUGAAGUCAGUCGCGUYGGCCAGGGAUCAACCUUGCUCUUGCUUGGUGUACUUUCUGGUUAACGGGUCAGCAUCAAUUUUGACAGGUGGAUAAAGGUUAGGGGAAUGUGGCAUCUUCGGAUGUGUUAUAGCCCUUGGUCGCAUACAUCGGUUGGAAUUGAGGAACUCAGCACGCCGCAAGGCCGGGUUUUUAACCACGUACGUGCUUAGGAUGCUGGCAUAAUGGCUUUAAUCGACCCGUCUUGAAACACGGACCAAGGAGUCUAACAUGCACGCGAGUGUUUGGGUGGAAAACCCGAGCGCGUAAUGAAAGUGAAAAUUGAGAUCCCUGUCGUGGGGAGCAUCAGUGCCCGGACCAGACCUUUUGUGACGGUUCCGCGGUUGAGCGUGUAUGCUGGGACCCGAAAGAUGGUGAACUAUGCCUGAAUAGGGUGAAGCCAGAGGAAACUCUGGUGGAGGCUCGUAGCGAUUCUGACGUGCAAAUCGAUCGUCAAAUUUGGGUAUAGGGGCGAAAGACUAAUCGA
This 889-nucleotide ribosomal RNA is filed under the name Tricholoma album. Its description in RNAcentral is "eukaryotic LSU rRNA". It matches the Rfam family "Eukaryotic large subunit ribosomal RNA", at positions 65 to 938 of the family's 3401-position model. The record is from RNAcentral. Lineage: Eukaryota; Fungi; Basidiomycota; Agaricomycetes; Agaricales; Tricholomataceae.